RNAcentral lists this ribosomal RNA (440 nucleotides) under uncultured bacterium. RNAcentral's name for it is "bacterial SSU rRNA". It matches the Rfam family "Bacterial small subunit ribosomal RNA", at positions 339 to 791 of the family's 1533-position model. The record is from RNAcentral.
GUACGGAAGGCAGCAGUGGGGAAUAUUGGACAAUGGGCGAAAGCCUGAUCCAGCAACGCCGCGUGAGGGAUGACGGCCUUCGGGUUGUAAACCUCUUUCAGCGGGGACGAAGCGAAAGUGACGGUACCCGCAGAAGAAGGACCGGCCAACUACGUGCCAGCAGCCGCGGUAAUACGUAGGGUCCGAGCGUUGUCCGGAAUUAUUGGGCGUAAAGGGCUCGUAGGCGGUUUGUCGCGUCGGGAGUGAAAACACGGGGCUUAACCCCGUGCCUGCUUCCGAUACGGGCAGACUAGAGGUAUGCAGGGGAGAACGGAAUUCCUGGUGUAGCGGUGAAAUGCGCAGAUAUCAGGAGGAACACCGGUGGCGAAGGCGGUUCUCUGGGCAUUACCUGACGCUGAGGAGCGAAAGUGUGGGGAGCGAACAGGAUUAGAUACCCGCGU